Molecule: long non-coding RNA, 237 nt
Filed under: Elaeis guineensis (African oil palm)
Lineage: Eukaryota; Viridiplantae; Streptophyta; Magnoliopsida; Arecales; Arecaceae
Description: long non-coding RNA (EGUI_LNC038857)
Source: RNAcentral
ACUAGAGUCCCUUAACUCCAAUUUAACCACUUUUUUAGAUGUAUUAUAUUAAAUCAAAUCACUCAUGAUUAUUGGUAAUAUACUAAGAUAGCGGUCAUUGAACUGAAACUUUAAAAAACAUCUAAAAGUCAUUGAGGAUAUUUAUAUUUGAGGCCAUUUUUGCCUCAAAGGUCUCACACAAUGAGACAGCAGUGAUCUAUUCUCUCAUUAUUCUUAUUGAUCGAGUUUUGCACAUGU